RNAcentral lists this transfer-messenger RNA (441 nucleotides) under Vampirovibrio sp. It matches the Rfam family "transfer-messenger RNA". From Rfam's summary of the family: Bacterial tmRNA, also known as 10Sa RNA or SsrA, is named for its dual tRNA and mRNA-like properties. Its role is to liberate the mRNA from a stalled ribosome. Lineage: Bacteria; Bacillati; Candidatus Melainabacteria; Vampirovibriophyceae; Vampirovibrionales; Vampirovibrionaceae. The record is from RNAcentral. RNAcentral also lists the same sequence under 1 other name.
GGGGACGAUUUGGACUUGACAGGGCGGUUUUCGGAAGUAAACUGCGCGUCGGGGUGCUGUUCCUCGUUAAUAACAAGCACUUUGAUAAAUGCCAACGAUAACGUUGUCAGCCUUGCAGAGUACAAAGCUCAGAAAUCUAACGUAGUCGCCCUGCGCGCUGCCUAGACUCUCUUAGCGGAGUGCUUAUCCACGACAUACUGUGGAUGGCAUCCUUACUUUUCUAGCAUGCCGAGAAGUAGGGACAAUGACGCAUGCUAGCUGAAUCCUGAUGGCAAUAGGGUGAAAGCGAAACUUUUUGCCAACCCCGGCGGGGUUAAACGCUUGGAAUCGCUUUUAGCCCUGGGAAGGGGCUGGGCGAAACGACAAUAAUCCUUUCCUACACGCGUAGACGUUCACUGGCGAACGUUCUGGACGCGGGUUCGACUCCCGCCGUCUCCACCA